UACAUAGGGGGCAAGCGUUAUCCGGAAUUAUUGGGCGUAAAGGGUGCGUAGGUGGCCAUUUAAGUCUUUGGUGUAAGUUCAGCGCUCAACGCUGUGAUGCUAAAGAAACUGGGUGGCUUGAGUGUGGUAGAGGCAAGUGGAAUUCCAUGUGUAGCGGUAAAAUGCGUAAAUAUAUGGAGGAACACCGGUGGCGAAGGCGGCUUGCUGGGCCACAACUGACACUGAAGCACGAAAGCGUGGGGAGCAAACAGG
Molecule: ribosomal RNA, 252 nt
Filed under: uncultured bacterium
Lineage: Bacteria
Description: partial 16S ribosomal RNA
Rfam family: Bacterial small subunit ribosomal RNA
Source: RNAcentral